Molecule: long non-coding RNA, 443 nt
Filed under: Camelus dromedarius (Arabian camel)
Lineage: Eukaryota; Metazoa; Chordata; Mammalia; Artiodactyla; Camelidae
Description: lncRNA (ENSCDRG00005016262.1)
Source: RNAcentral
CUAGCUUCAAGUGAGCUCACAACUCAUUAGUGGAACUUUCACUAAAAAAUUGGGACAAGUUUGAACCAGGAAUCUUCCAGCCAGGAAUGAGUCCUAAAUGAACAUUCACAUUCCCCUACACGAGCACCUCAGACACUACAGGCAGCCUGGUAUUACCUCCUUCUGCUUGAUGAAGGUACCGCCCUACAUGCUGAAUAUAUACUCAUGUAUAUGCUUAAUGUGUCUGCACAAAAGUGGAACGGGGAAGAAUUGAAGGUAAGGUUGGAAGAAAUAGGAGAUGGAGAGUGAUUUCUGGCCAGAUGCAGUUCUUCAAGGCUUCAAGGCGAUUAAAAUUGAGAAAAUUCAAUAAGUAGCUUUGGAUUUUUCAUCAUGAGAAAAAAAACUGUUUAUUUUGAACUUCUGAGUUUCGCCUUUUAGCAUAUGGGGAAUACUUACUUAAGAAG